RNAcentral lists this ribosomal RNA (435 nucleotides) under uncultured Flavobacterium sp. RNAcentral's name for it is "bacterial SSU rRNA". It matches the Rfam family "Bacterial small subunit ribosomal RNA", at positions 358 to 790 of the family's 1533-position model. Lineage: Bacteria; Pseudomonadati; Bacteroidota; Flavobacteriia; Flavobacteriales; Flavobacteriaceae. The record is from RNAcentral.
GGAAUAUUGGACAAUGGGCGCAAGCCUGAUCCAGCCAUGCCGCGUGCAGGAUGACGGUCCUAUGGAUUGUAAACUGCUUUUAUACGAGAAGAAACACUAGUUCGUGAACUAGCUUGACGGUAUCGUAAGAAUAAGGAUCGGCUAACUCCGUGCCAGCAGCCGCGGUAAUACGGAGGAUCCAAGCGUUAUCCGGAAUCAUUGGGUUUAAAGGGUCCGUAGGCGGUCAGAUAAGUCAGUGGUGAAAGCCCAUCGCUCAACGGUGGAACGGCCAUUGAUACUGUCUGACUUGAAUUAUUAGGAAGUAACUAGAAUAUGUAGUGUAGCGGUGAAAUGCUUAGAGAUUACAUGGAAUACCAAUUGCGAAGGCAGGUUACUACUAAUGGAUUGACGCUGAUGGACGAAAGCGUGGGUAGCGAACAGGAUUAGAUACCCUGG